This 716-nucleotide ribosomal RNA is filed under the name Fictibacillus barbaricus. RNAcentral's name for it is "bacterial SSU rRNA". It matches the Rfam family "Bacterial small subunit ribosomal RNA", at positions 57 to 758 of the family's 1533-position model. The record is from RNAcentral. Lineage: Bacteria; Bacillati; Bacillota; Bacilli; Caryophanales; Fictibacillaceae.
GCAGUCGAGCGAAUGAAGAGGAGCUUGCUCCUCUGAUUUAGCGGCGGACGGGUGAGUAACACGUGGGUAAUCUGCCUGUAAGACGGGGAUAACUCCGGGAAACCGGGGCUAAUACCGGAUAAUAAGAAGAAACGCAUGUUUCUUUUUUGAAAGUCGGUUUCGGCUGACACUUACAGAUGAGCCCGCGGCGCAUUAGCUAGUUGGUGAGGUAACGGCUCACCAAGGCGACGAUGCGUAGCCGACCUGAGAGGGUGAUCGGCCACACUGGGACUGAGACACGGCCCAGACUCCUACGGGAGGCAGCAGUAGGGAAUCUUCGGCAAUGGGCGAAAGCCUGACCGAGCAACGCCGCGUGAGCGAUGAAGGCCUUCGGGUCGUAAAGCUCUGUUGUUAGAGAAGAACAAGUACGAGAGUAACUGCUCGUACCUUGACGGUACCUAACCAGAAAGCCACGGCUAACUACGUGCCAGCAGCCGCGGUAAUACGUAGGUGGCAAGCGUUAUCCGGAAUUAUUGGGCGUAAAGCGCGCGCAGGCGGUCUCUUAAGUCUGAUGUGAAAGCCCACGGCUCAACCGUGGAGGGUCAUUGGAAACUGGGAGACUUGAGUGCAGGAGAGAAAAGUGGAAUUCCACGUGUAGCGGUGAAAUGCGUAGAGAUGUGGAGGAACACCAGUGGCGAAAGCGGCUUUUUGGCCUGUAACUGACGCUGAGCGCGAAA